Hydractinia symbiolongicarpus is the source of this 4041-nucleotide long non-coding RNA. RefSeq lists it as uncharacterized. The transcript is spliced from 2 exons. NCBI's taxonomy places the organism in Eukaryota, Metazoa, Cnidaria, Hydrozoa, Anthoathecata, Hydractiniidae. The record is from RefSeq and is a predicted model, not a curated record.
UAAUAAUAAUAAUAAUAAUAAUAAUAAUAAUAAUAAUAAUAAUAAUAAUAAUAAUAAUAAUAAUAAUAAUAAUAAUAAUAAUAAUAAUAAUAAUAAUAAUAAUAAUAAUAAUAAUAAUAAUAAUAAUAAAUAAUAAUAAUAAUAAUAAUAAUAAUAAUAAUAAUAAUAAUAAUAAUAAUAAUAAUAAUAAUAAUAAUAAUAAUAAUAAUAAUAAUAAUAAUAAUAAUAAUAAUAAUAAUAAUAAUAAUUAUAUCAAUUUGGUAGUAUAAUUCCCCUAUUAAUUUUUAUUUUGCAAUAUUUCACAAUACGCUGAUCGGAAGAAUUAUCAAUGCUUGAAAUCCAUUUUAAAAACUAAGUUAGCCUAAAUGAAGAUGAUUUGAAGUCAAACCAGCCCUUGAAACCCUUUUAUUUUGGAAUAGAUUGCUAUUCAAAGGGAAUUAUACUACCAUGUUUAGAUUGGGGUUUUUAAGAAUUCGGGAUAUUAUUUAAGAAAGCAAAUGCGUUUUUACAAAUUGUUUUAAGAACACUUUUCUUCACUCCAAAAAUUUUCAGCAACUUUUAGUAUUAAAUUAUUAAAAUUUCGACUUCACCAGAACGUCGAGCUGACCUGUCCCAACUAAACUCGUCUCCGCUCGCUGACACUCAUUCUAACAACAGCAUGCAGAAAAAAAUAUUAUGACUUCCCGUAAGUGAAUACAUUUGUGUGUAUGUAUACACCAUCAGAAAGGAAACGAGAGCACCAGUAAUUUGGGAACAAGUUUAUUAAUUUUUAAUAAUUUCUUGGAGCUUUAUAAAAGAAAAGUUUACAAAAUUCUGGGAAUUAUACUACCCUGUUGCAAAAUCUCAUACACCAAGCGGGCCAUUCAAGCCGAAACGGCAAGGGGCCCAAAGCUGUGUGUAGCGCUAGCUUGGUUCAUACAAAGCUAAACAGACCUCGCCAGGUCGUUUGCAGGGUUGUGCAUCGUAAAGCUGUUGUUUGUGGCAUGUUUUUGGGUAAAACAUUAAUUUUUAAAUCCGAAAUACACUAAUUAUAUUGUUAAUUGGUCGUUUCUUUUAUCUAUGCUUUUAUACUGGUUUAACUAGCUUGUGCAAAAGCUAUGUUUGUACUAGGAGAGCUCCCAAAGCAUACUGUCCCUUUGUUUUGUACUGUAGCUAAUGUAGCUAACCAAUUUAAAAGUGCUAGCUAAACACCUUCCUGCACAGCAUAAAACAAUGUUUUACUCUGUUAAAGUGACUUCUUUUUAAAAUAAUUCUAGAAAAUAAGUGGGAAUUUCAAUUUUCUGAUUUGAGUUAAAGACCUUUUGGGAAAAUUUAAACAAGUCAUGGAAGCAGUAGCUACAGAAUAGCAGUAGUAUCCUGUAUAUGCAAUACAAGGAUGCUAUAAGACAAAAUAUUGUUUAUCUGUUUAUCCUUUAAGAUUAAUUUUUUUAUUUUUGAAGAUUUAGCUAGGUAGUGAAAUAUAAUGGUCUGAAAAGGCAAUGACACUUAGCUACAUAGUGAGUAAUCUAUAUGUCACAACAAACAUUUUGUGUAUUAGUAAAGUGAUAAACAUAGAAAAAAUGACAAUAAAUGUCCAGAUAGUGUGACUAUAGCGGUCAAAUGUCCAUAAUGAAGCAUCCCAGGUCCUUUUCGUGGAAUUCAAAAAUUCAAAUAUUUUGCGUAGAAAAAAGCUUAUGGACUUGAAAGUUGUUAUGGAGUGCAUAUAGGUCAAUGUAAUGAAAUUAGCAUAAAAAAUGUUUUUGCAUUGGCUAUAUAUACUUCCUGAGUUUCAGAAUUUAGGCAUUUCAAAGGACACAGAUGAGACUUUUUAAACAAAACAAUAGAUUUUGACUAAAAAUCAAGCAAAUAGGUACCAAUAUUUUUAGCAAAAUGAUUUGUUUAAAGUCUCUUGAUAUGCUAAGAAAUUUGAUUAAGAAAUGUUGAUUAAGCUCGAUUUGGCACAUUUUUAUAUUCCACGACAAGGUAUGAGUAGGUUAAUACACAAAAACUCAGUUCAUUUUGAUACUGUUAGAUACUAUUUUUUUUAAGUAUAUACCAGUAAAAUUUAACCUGAACCUCACUGUUUCUGAGCAUGAAGCUGUUCUUAUUUCAUCAAUGACAUCAGUGACGUCAUGACAUCAUGACUCACAAUUUAAAAGUAUGGGUACAUAUAUAGUUUUUAACAGUAACAGCAGCAUCUCCAGUAUGACAGCAAGCCUGUACUUUGAUUGGAAUCCUGCUUCACAACCCUAUUUAAGAUUAUUGCAAUCUGAAUGCAUCAGCAGCUAUGGACCUCUUUUUAAAAAUUUCUCGUUUUUAAUAUGCACUGACACAUAGUUUUGCAUGUUACGCUUCACCAAUUUGCAGAGCGGAAAUUUCCUAUGUUUGUUCUCUCUGCUUGCUUAAAAAAUCUGCUGAUGUGAGGCAAAAAAAUAUCAUAUUUGGCUAUGUUGCAUUGAUUUUGAAUGCUCUUGUGGUAAAAUAUUGUAAUAUGGCACAAAGAUAAAUUUCAGUUACUAGCAGGUCAGAGAAUCCUGACCAUCUCUAGUUUAUUUAGUUUGGCAUGCAAAAACUUAUCCACAACACAGUAUUUUCAAAUUUAAUGAUUCGAACAUAGUUUUGAUCAAUAGCAACGUAACAGAUAAACAUUAUUUAGUGUUUUAUUAUUGACAACAAAUUAAAAGCAGUAAAAACGAGAUUAUUGUAGACGUAAGCCUGCACAUUAGCUUCCCAACUUCUAAACUGUAACAUGACUAUUUCUAUCCUGAAAGGAUGAUAGCCAAUGUUGUCCCACAUAUAAAUCACUAUUAUAAUAUUGCACAACUUAACAUAAUGCUUUGAUUACUGAUUAGUGUUGUCAUGGCCACACAAUUUUUUCUGGAAAAUAUUGAUAGAUAUUACAGAUCAGCCUAAAAAUGUUUCUCAUAUUUUUCAACACUUUUUCUUCAUUGGCAUUGAAACAAUUUCAAAACAUGUAUAUAUAUACGGUUAUUUUAUACUGUGCAUAUCCUUUCAUUAAUUAGUGAUGCACGGAAAAGGUGAAAAUGUAUAUACUUGUACCAAAUUCUUGUCUUGUUUGCACAUUAUUUAUCUGAGCUUUUGACAAAAUCAUUGCAUCAUUUUAUCUUUAGGUUUAAUUAAGAAUGUUCAAGAAUUUACACUAAUCUGCGAGAUGUGGCAGAACUAAAGCCACAUACUCGACACCUGCUAACACAAUGUAACCGUUUAAUUCGAAUAUUUGAUGAAAUAGUACCCAUAUUUUAUGGUUUAUAUAUCAGGUUUAAUUUUAUUUCUUGGUGUUAGGUAUCUCUAAUAUCAAACAAAAUUAUUGUGUAAGUUACUGUCUGAUUUACCAAUUUAUUUGGCCGCACCGUGCAUUUUGUUUCCAUGAAUCUAUUGAGAUGCUUAUUGUAUGAUUUUUUGGAUGGCCGCACAGGUGCAUUUUGUUUCUUGAAUCUAUUGAGAUGCAUCAAGACUGUAUUUAUCGAUCUUGCUCAAAAUGGACCAUAAAUUUUCAAUUUGAUGCAUGUCUGUAGAAUUCAGGUCUUAUAUUGUACUCGAUUGUAUGAUUUUAUUUGGAUGGCCGCACCGUGCAUUUUGUUUCCAUGAAUCUAUUGAGACACAUAUUGUAUGAUUUUAUUGGAUGGCCGCACAGGUGCAUUUUGUUUCUUGAAUCUAUUGAGAUGCAUCAAGACUGUAUUUAUCGAUCUUGCUCAAUAUGGACCAUAAAUUUUCAAUUUGAUGCAUGUCUGUAGAAUUCAAGUCUUAUAUUGUACUAGAAUGUAUGAUUUUAUUUGGAUGGCCGCACCGUGCAUUUUGUUUCCAUGAAUCUAUUGAGAUGCUUAUUGUAUGAUUUUAUUGGAUGGCCGCACAGGUGCAUUUUGUUUCUUGAAUCUAUUGAGAUGCAUCAAGACUGUAUUUAUCGAUCUUGCUCAAAAUGGACCAUAAAUUUUCAAUUUGAUGCAUGUCUGUAGAAUUCAGGUCUUAUAUUGUACUAGAAUGUAUGAUUUUAUUUGGACGGCCGCACCGUGCAUUUUGUUUCCAUGAAUCUAUUGAGACACA